This 1002-nucleotide long non-coding RNA is filed under the name Gallus gallus (chicken). Its description in RNAcentral is "lncRNA (ENSGALG00010006689.1)". The record is from RNAcentral. Lineage: Eukaryota; Metazoa; Chordata; Aves; Galliformes; Phasianidae.
CCAAGAGAACAACCACCUGGAAGGUGAUAUGCAUGGGAACUGUUGAAUUAUGACCUGAACCUCUCGUUGACCACCUGAGGCAAGCACUGAGUCAGCCACGGGAGCACAGGUGAAGGCAAUUCAGCUGUGUGACCAGAAGGGGUGGAGCCUGGCUGCACCUCUCCUAGACCCAAUUUAAGGGCUGACUGCCACUGAGGAAGGAUCUUUUCCUGGAGGUUGCUCCUUGUGGAGUUUUUGUAAGCCUACGACACUGCAGAUUAAUCGAUCAUCUGAAUGCGAAGAGGACUAGGUAAAAUUCUGUGCUGUUGGAUACCUUUGCCCUCAGCUGCACUCUGCCUGGUUCCAUGGCCUCAUCCAGAUGAUGCACAUCAUUAGGUAUGAGAAGCUUGCAGCCAGCAUGGUCAGUAGGGCUCCUGUUGGCUGGCAUCCAUCACUAUGUGUUAUGAAGAUGGAAGAAGCUUCAGAACAAGCAAAACUUGAAUAGACACCAGCCUGCAGUCUGUAUUGGUGUCUUCGGCACAGCAAACCAGCUUCCCAGAGGAGGGCUGGACCCUUUCCAAGCCAGGCUUCAGUAACAUGGGAAAUGGAAGGAACGAUAAGAAAGAAAACAGUGCUGAGAGCAGACUGUAGAAUACAGAUCUACAGAUAGUGUAGAUUCUGCUGGUACCAUGGAUGUUAAUGGCUCAUCAGGACAUCGUCCUCCUCCAGACCCAGCCAGAACCAAAUGUUGCUUCUUUUACAAGUUCAAAUCUAAAUUUGUGAUCACUUACAGAAUCACUCCUGAGGUACAACACAGAUUCAGCCUGCAAAAGGCACUGACCACAGUCAUUCUCCUUGCUUCCAUCCUUCACUCCAGCCUUUUGAUCCAUCGCUGUCCCAAGUGUCCCAUCUUAAUGUUCCUAGGCCAGCUCCAACACCCUUCAUGUCCCACUGCUGUGAUGCAGUUUCUUCCCAUUUCUCCUGUCCUCACAGUGGGUGAGUGUAUUGAUAAAAACAGGUGAG